Aedes aegypti (yellow fever mosquito) is the source of this 535-nucleotide long non-coding RNA. RefSeq lists it as uncharacterized. The transcript is spliced from 2 exons. The record is from RefSeq and is a predicted model, not a curated record. Lineage: Eukaryota; Metazoa; Arthropoda; Insecta; Diptera; Culicidae.
CAGCACCAACUCCGGCGCCAACUCCAGUACCAAGUCCAUCGCCUGAUCCAGGCACACCAACACCUGAGUGCGAUACUGGAUGCCCGAACUUCAACUGUCACGAAAAUGCACUUUGUGUCAGCAGCCCUGGUUCCAAUACAGAAGCUCUUCUGAUACCCCACCACGAAUGUGACAAAUUCUACAAGUGCAAACAUGGAUCAAAUUUGGCCUGUGAAUUUGUGUGUCCAGCUGGAUUACAUUUCAAUGACGUAAAGCUCGUAUGUGACUGGCCCUGGUUGGCAUGUUGCGACCCAUCCAUCAACUGCGUCAAACCAUGCAUUCCAGGAGUUACUUGUGCACCUUCGGCUUAGGUCACACAUAUCGAGAUUAGCCGUAAUUUAAGAUCAACAAUAUCGAUCCAAUUGCUGUGGGAGUAAAGUAUUAGUAUGGUUUGAUAAACAGUUUAAAUUAAGCUGCAUCAUUAUAUUACUCAUAUUGUUUCUAAAUAGUUGGCAAUAAACAUCUUGUGCGUUUAAACAAAAACCUUUGCAAUAAA